CACAGUUAAAUUCCUUGCAUUUUUCUGAUUCCAAAACAUAUAUGGAUUGCCCAAAUUGGAUAUAGCAUGCAUCUCCUAGGAUUUAAACAAGAUUAACUUCAUUUAUGCAAUUAAACAAAACCAAAAAGAAAACCACUCGGAACGGGCGCAUGGACUCGGUCCAUCGGGCGCAUCGGUGCACCAGGCGACUGACAGGUGGGUCCAAUGGGCCCACUUGUCAGUGGUC
Molecule: long non-coding RNA, 226 nt
Filed under: Brachypodium distachyon (stiff brome)
Lineage: Eukaryota; Viridiplantae; Streptophyta; Magnoliopsida; Poales; Poaceae
Description: long non-coding RNA (BDIS_LNC002275)
Source: RNAcentral